AAAUAGAAGGCUUCUCAAUUUAAAAUAGAUCAUGCCAUUCUAUACACUCAUUACUUCCUGUAUUUCCAAUACAUCUAAUUGCUGCUUUGCAAAUCAAUAGAAUUCUAAACCAUUACUUCUUGUAAAAUAAUUAAUGGACAUUCUAUCUAGUAACAUAUUACGAAAAACUGUGAGUUUUACUAUUGACUACCAUGCAACGGUUGUAGCUUUCAACAUUGUUCCGGCUUUUCCCUUGAUAUCUAUCCAAAUCACGCCAUAUCUAGAAGAAAAGGUAUAAAAAAGCUUGUCUUAUUCUUUUGACAUUUAAACUGUUGAUUGCAACUGGUUUAUGAUACGUGGACGUUCUCAUUUCACCAGCACAGACAUCACUUCGCUUUCAAGAGAUAACUGUUGCAGCUCGUAGUACGAGUAAUAUAUCACAGUAGCGUUGGUUGGUUGAGUCCACACCCAAAUCAUUAGAAGGUGAAAUGCGCAUCUGCCGAUUGCUUUGGUCGUAGGUGGAAGACCUAGCUGGUGUUGGAAUGGUUCCCCUUCCAGAAAUCAAUUUCUCGAACCGGUCGAACAAGCGACGACCACUGUGGUUUGGGCUGCGGUCAAAGGCGGAGAGGUUCAGACUGCACCCCUGCCACUAAAUUAUAGCCUUGGCACUCAUCUAGGAUUGGGCUUCUAUCCACUUUUCGUGGAUUCAACAACAGUUCUCUGGCCUCAACCAUCACAAAUUUUCCGUUACUAUUAGAACUCGUCAAAAGAAUGGCAAGAUCGUAUUUCAGGGACAACCGACAGAAGCUCGUAAAACGCCAACAAGUUUUAAGAAUAAAACAGCCAACAAUCAAAUAAAUCUACAUUUAACACUCUAGAAGCAGUAAUAAACUUUCAGGAAAUUGGAAUUCUUUUUUUAUGAAUACUUCAAAAACUAUUAUUUCGAAAGCUUUGAACAUGGUUGAUUCUGGAGAGUGACCAAUACACGCCAUACAUAAUAUAUUAUGUGGAAGUGCAAUGAUACAAGGCUGCAUUCCUACAUUUUCACAGUUGAGUAGCUUUAAAUAUGACAGAGGGAGCAGCUCUUAUUGAAUAGAAUUUAUCCUUAAAACUUAUAACAUGUUAAGUGCGAGAAUAAAGACAUUCAUAUUAAAAUAUGAAAUCCAUGGCAAAAUAUAUCAUGACUGUUUCUAAGGUAGUCAGUGAAUUUGUUUCAAGAUCGGUGUGAUGAAUCUGUGGGUAUAGAAAUUCUAUAUUGUACUGCAAGUUCAUAAUUCCCUAAAAGUUUGUAAGAACAGAAGUGAAAAGAUGUCGAAUAAAAUAUGAUA
Molecule: long non-coding RNA, 1307 nt
Organism: Nilaparvata lugens (brown planthopper)
Lineage: Eukaryota; Metazoa; Arthropoda; Insecta; Hemiptera; Delphacidae
Exons: 3
Source: RefSeq, a predicted model, not a curated record